AAAACGGCCCUUUUCAGGGCCACCAAUCGCUAUAAAAUCUCUGUU
Molecule: non-coding RNA, 45 nt
Organism: Acyrthosiphon pisum (pea aphid)
Lineage: Eukaryota; Metazoa; Arthropoda; Insecta; Hemiptera; Aphididae
Source: Rfam